RNAcentral lists this ribosomal RNA (492 nucleotides) under uncultured bacterium. Its description in RNAcentral is "partial 16S ribosomal RNA". It matches the Rfam family "Bacterial small subunit ribosomal RNA", at positions 29 to 507 of the family's 1533-position model. The record is from RNAcentral.
AGUGAACGCUGGUGGUAGGCCCAACACAUGCAAGUCGAACGGCAGCACAGUAAGAGCUUGCUCUUACGGGUGGCGAGUGGCGGACGGGUGAGGAAUACAUCGGAAUCUACUUUUUCGUGGGGGAUAACGUAGGGAAACUUACGCUAAUACCGCAUACGACCUACGGGUGAAAGCAGGGGAUCUUCGGACCUUGCGCGAUUGAAUGAGCCGAUGUCGGAUUAGCUAGUUGGCGGGGUAAAGGCCCACCAAGGCGACGAUCCGUAGCUGGUCUGAGAGGAUGAUCAGCCACACUGGAACUGAGACACGGUCCAGACUCCUACGGGAGGCAGCAGUGGGGAAUAUUGGACAAUGGGCGCAAGCCUGAUCCAGCCAUACCGCGUGGGUGAAGAAGGCCUUCGGGUUGUAAAGCCCUUUUGUUGGGAAAGAAAAGCAGCAGGUUAAUACCCCGCUGUUCUGACGGUACCCAAAGAAUAAGCACCGGCUAACUUCGUG